This is a long non-coding RNA of Rosa rugosa (rugosa rose), 4060 nucleotides long. RefSeq lists it as uncharacterized. The record is from RefSeq and is a predicted model, not a curated record. NCBI's taxonomy places the organism in Eukaryota, Viridiplantae, Streptophyta, Magnoliopsida, Rosales, Rosaceae. The transcript has 5 exons.
UUGACUUCAGAUAGCCCUAACACUACUAUUCGACCAAACCUCCCUUUCCUCUUCUUCGUUCUCCGCCUCCGACCAAAACCAUCCUCUUCUUCGUUCUCCACCUCCGACCAAUACCCUCCUCCUCUUCGUUUUCCGCCUCCGACCAAUACCCUCCUCUUCGUUCUCUCUCUAAAACCCGCUCUGUCUCUCUCUGGAAUUGACGAAGAUGAAGUCUAUGCAACCACACGACAAUUUCUUACGGGAGACAAUGAAGCCUCCCCAGUCGCCAAACCCUAGCUCCGGCAAGCCUCCAAGGAGAAAAGCGCCUCCGCCUUCAGAUCUAACUAUACGGCUAUGGAUUUGAAGCCUUUGCCGGGGGCCAAGUUAAAGAGUACAUUGCCACCACGGCCGCCGCCGUGAAAUCCUCUCAAACGGAAGCUUGGGAUGAUUCCUAAGAACUCCGUCCAUGGAGCCUUUGAUUCCAAUGUCCAGGUACUACUCUAUUUCUUGACCGACCUAAAUCUCUUUGUUAGAAAUCUUCCCUUCACUGUUGAUAGUGCUCAGGUAGUUGAGCUCUUCGAAGGUGCUGGGAAUGUUGAGAUGGUCGAGGUUAUGCAUGACAAGACUACUGGGAGAAGCAGAGGAUUUGGGUUUGUGUCUCACCAUUUGGGAUCACAAAAUUUCGAGGAUUGCCGAAUUGCUUAGUCUAAAUGUUUGAACUGCAUUGAACCUAGCGUUUGGUGGAUUAAAAGAUUUCAGUGGUGGUUUUGAAAGCGCGGAGCUUUCGGUGAUUCUGUGCAAUGAUGAGUUAAUGAGAAAACGUAACAAAGAAUGGAGAGAUGAGGACCGUGCUACUGGUGUUGUUUCCAAGUCUAAGCAUGUGCCUGGUCUUAAGAUUCCAAUUGUUGUGUUCGGUGACAUUGUGAUUUCUGUUGAGAUGGCGGCAAGGCAAGCAGAGCAAAGAGGCCACACACUUCUUGAUGAGAUGCGCCUUCUCAUGGUAGGACUACUAGUGCUUAUAUUUCUCUUGCUAUAUGUGACAUUUUGUUGAAUGAAUGUGAUGCUUUCUGAGUCCCAUUAUAGUACAUUUAUCCAUGAUAAUUGCUGAUAUGAAAGUCGCAUGUUGAUUCCAUUAUGGCAAAAAUUGCUACUGGAAAGCUUAAUGUAUUGUACUUUUAAUGUCAUUGGGAGAAACACAUGUCUUGGACUGCCCGAUUCUAAUGUGCAAGCCAGCUGUUGGGUUAAGGUUUUCAGUGAAGAGAUAAUUUCUCAUGGAGGAAUAGUUGUUGGCUAUUAUAUAUAUAUAUAUAUAUAUAUAUGUGAACUCACAGCCAUAACAAGUACAGAACUUUAUGACUAAAAAGAGGCAGAAAAACUCUGGGUUUUAAUGGGACAUAAGUUUCCUAAUGUUUUUUUCCGUGCUCCACCAUGUAGAACCUCCGAUUAUCCUGGUGAUGUUUGGUGAGUCUGUGAGUUGUUUUUGAGUUAAUUGAAUUGAAAUGUAUGCUUGGAGGUGAUGGUUGUUUGUUAGUUAAUUAUUUGGACUAUGAAAGGUCAGGAGAAGAUUAUUCUCUCUCAGGUCAUAUUAGCUGAAGCUUUGAUUUGUGUUCUUCUACAUGAGAUAACAUUCUUCAUUGAGCUUUUUGGGCCUGCAACAAAGUUCGAAGCCUUAUUGGUUAAUAGCAGUUGGAAAUUGGAAUUGAAAGGUGCAGUUCUCCUUGUUUUUUCCAAUAAGUAGGUAAAUGCUAUCCUAAAACCCAUUUGUUUGAUUACCAACACUUCUAUUGUUUCAUUGCAGCAACUCUCUUCUCAUCCAAUUUCACGACCAAUAACAUUCAAGAUUAUUGUUACACUAUAAAUCAAACCGAGUUUUUCCCUUCUUCAAUCUUUUCUUUCUCCUCGGUCUCUUUAUGCUUGAUCUUAUCGUUUUUCUGGAAUUCUCACCCUUUCGAUCUACUCUGAUCUGCUUGUUAAAAAGGGUAUGCCUUAUGACUUUCAAUCUCAAUUCUUUGAUUACUUUCUAUUGAUUUGCAGCUCUUCAUAUUCAAAUACACGUCUGGAUAUCUUUUAGCCUCUCUUUGAUUAAACUCUGUUCUUAUAGAAACCAAUUGGAAUAUUUCGGUUCUCACUUUUCUUCAAAACUAUAUAUGAGUUUGGAUGUACUUAUCAAAUUGGACUUCACGUGUAUAAAUUAUUUCAGAAACUACAUACAGUUUCCAGACCCAGCGACCUGUUUCUGUAAAACUGUAAUUUUCUGUUAAGAAAUUGAAGUUAUUUUCUUCUGAGAAUUUGUAGUGGACUUGUUAAAGAGUAUUUGAGACUUGGAAUCUCCUAAAAAAGAUUUUUCUAUCAUUAGUUAUGAUUUUUCAAAGUUACAGGUCUGUUGCAGGAAUUUCUAAAAACAGUAUCACUGUCAUGUUCUUUCUGUUUCUUUUAGUAUCUUUUUAUGUACAAUCUUGAUUGAAGAAACCAGUACUUUAAAAUUAGGCAUUCCCACCUUUCAUAUGAAACCAGCCUGGCUCCAUUUGGAGUUCGUAUGAAAGAUUUAUACCACGACAAAUUUGGCUUUGUGCAUUAGCAUUUCUGGUGCACAGUUUUACUUUACAAAUCAGAUCUCAAAUAACCAUUUCUAGAUCGAUGUUCAAUCUGUGCUAUAAUCCAUAUAUGAAGUUUCUUCUUCACCUGUAGCAGUUGUACUUUUCAUUCUACAAGAUCAACUUAUGUCCUUGAUAAUUCCAGUAUGAAAGAAUGAGUAGCACAAACACUACUAGAAUUUUGCUCAACAGAUCCAUGGUCCAUUUCUCAUUGUUGUACCAUUAUCUACUUUGUCAAAUUGGGCAAAAGAAUUUAGGAAAUGGCUUCCUGAUCUGAAUGUUAGUGUAUGUUGGUACCCGUGCAAGCCGAGAGGUAAACUGAGCUUUCUUGUAGAUGUCACAAAGUUCAUAUAUGGUUAGCGUUUGAUAAUAUGAUUUUACUUGCAUUGUUAGUUCAAAAAUAGUUAAAGCUCCCAAAUUGUACUCAUCAUAGCUAGUUUCUUGUGCCUAUUGAAUAAAUACUUCUAUAGCUAGUAUGCUGGUCAGCUCUCCGCUUUCAAUGUGGAACUUUAAUUACUGUACAAAGUUGAGUGAUCUUAAAAUGAACUCUCUGUCCUUCAGCCCUCCUUUUAUUGAGUGCACUUUUUUGAGUUCCUUUUUUACCAUAUGGUAGGCUAAAGUGCCUCCUAAGGUACAAGUUUUUGCUUCGGGCUGUUGCUCACAGGAGAGUUAUACUUGUGAGGUCAACAGCAAAGCCCUUCUGUUUGACUUUGGCCACUUGAAAGAAAGAGGCAGUUGAGGGUAUUGGUAACAUUUUCCUUCAUUUUCUAGUGGUGUUGAGAUUGGAUAGAAGUGUCUGCUGCUAUGGUGAAUGUGAUUCCCUCAGCUGGGGUAUUUGGUGUGGAGUGAUUGCAUCAUGUGUUUUAAUGUUGCCAUUGUGUAUGGAGUAACUGUAUUUUUAUCUUCUGGUGUAGUGACCAUGGUCAAAUGAGUACUUGCUUUUAAUUUUGUUAGGGUCAAUACAGUUGCCCUGCAUCUCACCAUGAAUAUUCAUCUUUGAUCGCAAAUUUAUGUCUUUGGAUUCAAUGGUGCCAGUCUCUGUCUGUAUUACAGCAAAUAUAUUCAUGCAAUCUGUCUGUGCCUAGUUUUUUUUAUAGUAACUUGUUCAGCAUUGUUGACCUUUGACUCAAUUAAUCAUAAUUAAGGACUUAAAUAUCCCAGAAAGGUAUAGUUAAGUUAACCAACAGAUUGUGUUAUGGAUGCUAGGAUAGGAAUGUCUUGUAAGCUCAAUGUCUUUUUGUCUUUCCCUUUUCCUUUCAUUUCUUUCCUUCGGGAUGGUUUUUCUUGUUAUAGCUAAUUGUUCAUUUCAUUUUAUUUGCAGGUGAAAACAGAAGAACAAAUGGGAUAUAAGUAUGACGAGGCUUGCCUUCGUUUAUGUUUCUAGUAUUAUGUACCAUUUAGACUUAAAUUUUUGUUUUAUUUCUACAUGUUAUGCAUAGAAAUACUUGGGAUGUUGUUAUGUACUUUGAGCAUCAAUAUUAAUCAAA